GAUAAACGCUGGCGGCGCACAUAAGACAUGCAAGUCGAACGAAAGUCGUUACAAAACGGAUUGAAGAUUUAUCGGAAAGAAGUUUUGUAACAAUGGCUUUAGUGGCGAACGGGUGAGUAACGCGUGAGGAACCUGCCUUUCAGUGGGGGACAACAGUUGGAAACGACUGCUAAUACCGCAUAAUGUUAUUUGGGGGCAUCCCUGAAUAACCAAAGAUUUAUUGCUGAAAGAUGGUCUCGCGUCUGAUUAGCUAGUUGGCGGGGUAACGGCCCACCAAGGCGACGAUCAGUAGCCGGACUGAGAGGUUGAACGGCCACAUUGGAACUGAGAUACGGUCCAGACUCCUACGGGAGGCAGCAGUGGGGAAUAUUGCACAAUGGGCGAAAGCCUGAUGCAGCAACGCCGCGUGAGGGAAGACGGUUUUCGGAUUGUAAACCUCUGUCUUUGGUGAAGAUAAUGACGGUAGCCAAGGAGGAAGCACGGCUAACUACGUG
RNAcentral lists this ribosomal RNA (494 nucleotides) under uncultured bacterium. RNAcentral describes it as "bacterial SSU rRNA". It matches the Rfam family "Bacterial small subunit ribosomal RNA", at positions 28 to 507 of the family's 1533-position model. The record is from RNAcentral.